Molecule: ribosomal RNA, 463 nt
Filed under: uncultured bacterium
Lineage: Bacteria
Description: bacterial SSU rRNA
Rfam family: Bacterial small subunit ribosomal RNA
Source: RNAcentral
CCAGACUCCUACGGGAGGCAGCAGUGAGGAAUAUUGGUCAAUGGGCGAGAGCCUGAACCAGCCAAGUCGCGUGAGGGACGACGGCCCUACGGGUUGUAAACCUCUUUUGCCGGGGGACAAACGGCGGCACGCGUGCCGUCCUGAGGGUACCCGGAGAAAAAGCAUCGGCUAACUCCGUGCCAGCAGCCGCGGUAAUACGGAGGAUGCGAGCGUUAUCCGGAUUUAUUGGGUUUAAAGGGUGCGUAGGCGGGAUGCAAAGUCAGCGGUAAAAUGCGGGGGCUCAACCUGCGUCCGCCGUUGAAACUGGCAGUCUCGAGUUGGAGAGAAGUAUGCGGAAUGCGCGGUGUAGCGGCGAAAUGCAUAGAUAUCGUGCAGAACUCCGAUUGCGAAGGCAGCAUGCCGGCUCCACACUGACGCUGAGGCACGAAAGCGUGGGUAUCGAACAGGAUUAGAUACCCGAGUA